ACGCACGCUGGCGGCAUGCCUAACACAUGCAAGUCGAACGAAGUCUUCGGACUUAGUGGCGCACGGGUGCGUAACGCGUGGGAAUCUGCCCUUGGGUACGGAAUAACUCAGAGAAAUUUGUGCUAAUACCGUAUAAUGUCUUCGGACCAAAGAUUUAUCGCCCAAGGAUGAGCCCGCGUAAGAUUAGCUAGUUGGUGGGGUAAAAGCCUACCAAGGCGACGAUCUUUAGCUGGUCUGAGAGGAUGAUCAGCCACACUGGGACUGAGACACGGCCCAGACUCCUACGGGAGGCAGCAGUGGGGAAUAUUGGACAAUGGGCGAAAGCCUGAUCCAGCAAUGCCGCGUGAGUGAUGAAGGCCCUAGGGUUGUAAAGCUCUUUUACCAGGGAUGAUAAUGACAGUACCUGGAGAAUAAGCUCCGGCUAACUCCGUG
RNAcentral lists this ribosomal RNA (432 nucleotides) under uncultured bacterium. Its description in RNAcentral is "partial 16S ribosomal RNA". It matches the Rfam family "Bacterial small subunit ribosomal RNA", at positions 29 to 507 of the family's 1533-position model. The record is from RNAcentral.